RNAcentral lists this ribosomal RNA (652 nucleotides) under Chryseobacterium ureilyticum. Its description in RNAcentral is "bacterial SSU rRNA". It matches the Rfam family "Bacterial small subunit ribosomal RNA", at positions 484 to 1142 of the family's 1533-position model. Lineage: Bacteria; Pseudomonadati; Bacteroidota; Flavobacteriia; Flavobacteriales; Weeksellaceae. The record is from RNAcentral.
GAAUAAGCCCCGGCUAAUUCCGUGCCGGCAGCCGCGGUAAUAAUGAGGGGGCAAGCGUUAUCCGGAUUUAUUGGGUUUAAAGGGUCCGUAGGCGGAUGUGUAAGUCAGUGGUGGAAUUUUCCCAGCUUAAUUGUGAAACUGCCAUCGAUACUGCAUGUCUUGAGUGUUGUUGAAGUAGCUGGAAUAAGUAGUGUAGCGGUGAAAUGCAUAGAUAUUAUUUAGAACACCAAUUGCGAAGGCAGGUUACUAAGCAACAACUGACGCUGAUGGACGAAAGCGUGGGGAGCGAACAGGAUUAGAUACCCUGGUAGUCCACGCCGUAAUCGAUGCUAACUCGUUUUUGGAUUUUCGGAUUCAGAGACUAAGCGAAAGUGAUAAGUUAGCCACCUGGGGAGUACGUUCGCAAGAAUGAAACUCAAAGGAAUUGACGGGGGCCCGCACAAGCGGUGGAUUAUGUGGUUUAAUUCGAUGAUACGCGAGGAACCUUACCAAGGCUUAAAUGGGAAAUGACAGGUUUAGAAAUAGACUUUUCUUCGGACAUUUUUCAAGGUGCUGCAUGGUUGUCGUCAGCUCGUGCCGUGAGGUGUUAGGUUAAGUCCUGUAUGGAGACCUACCCCUGACAUUAGUUGACAUCAUUAAUUUACCGUCUGUA